GACGAACGCUGGCGGCGUGCUUAACACAUGCAAGUCGAACGGUGAACCUCUUCGGAGGGGAUCAGUGGCGAACGGGUGAGUAACACGUGGGCAACCUGCCCCCGGCUCUGGGAUAACUCCAAGAAAUUGGGGCUAAUACCGGAUGUUCACCGCUUCCCGCAUGGGUGGUGGUGGAAAGGGUUUCCGGCUGGGGAUGGGCCCGCGGCCUAUCAGUUUGUUGGUGGGGUAGUGGCCUACCAAGGCGACGACGGGUAGCCGGCCUGAGAGGGUGACCGGCCACACUGGGACUGAGACACGGCCCAGACUCCUACGGGAGGCAGCAGUGGGGAAUAUUGCGCAAGGGGCGGAAGCCUGACGCAGCGACGCCGCGUGGGGGAUGACGGCCUUCGGGUUGUAAACCUCUUUCAGCAGGGACGAAGCGCAAGUGACGGUACCUGCAGAAGAAGCACCGGCCAACUACGU
This 462-nucleotide ribosomal RNA is filed under the name uncultured bacterium. RNAcentral describes it as "partial 16S ribosomal RNA". It matches the Rfam family "Bacterial small subunit ribosomal RNA", at positions 28 to 506 of the family's 1533-position model. The record is from RNAcentral.